UUUAACACUUCAUGACUGAGAGCUGUCCUUCAUGACAACAGAACUUCAACGAUGACUUUCAUCAUGAGCUUUGUGUGGAUACUGACUUUCUUAAUUCAGGAAUCGAGAGGACAGGUCACUGUGACUCAGACUCCUYCAGUGAAAACUGUUCUCCAAGGACAGCCAGUUAUUAUAAACUGUAAAACCAGUGCAGAUGUAGCAGAUCAUUGUCCUGGUGAUUACACCUGUAUGGCCUGGUACCAACAGAAACCUGGAGGAGCUCCUAAACUCCUAAUAUACUGGGCUACAACACUUCAGUCUGGGACUCCAUCUAGAUUCAGUGGCAGUGGAUCUCAUAGUGACUUCACUCUGACCAUCAGUGGAGUCCAGGCUGAAGAUGCAGGAGAUUACUACUGUCAGAGUGUACACAGUGGUCCAGUGUUCACACAGUGAUACAGAGCUGUACUAAAACCUCCCUCAGUCAGACUGCACAGUGACUGUACUGCUACAGCUGGGACCUACUGCAGGUGCUGAUGGGUACGAGACAUUGACAUGGAUCAAUGGUCACUAGAGGAGGUCAACUGUGACAUGUGACAAWAUGGUUAGAAAGUAAUCAUUCAGAUCACAUGACCAUCCUCAUCAUCAUCAUCAUGGUUAUGACUUAUAGUUUUUGUCAUGGUCUUUAAGUGUAUAUAUAUAAAAGUCAUUUGAAGUUUUGAAACACAAUUCCUGUCCACAUGCGAAGCAAGAUCUACAGAAGUAAAACAAAAGAUGUUAUGACCUUAACAUUACUUCAAAGUUACAAUCACUUCAGUCCCCAAAACAAGUCCUCAUAUGGACCUCAAACAAAUYUCUGAUUUAAAUGGAUGUGAUCUUCUAACAUUAUAUUCACUCUUUUAAUGAGCAGGUUACUGACUGCUAGAUCUGUGAAUGAGACAUGAUGCUGGACUCAAACAUAAGACACAUUUACACUACAUACA
Non-coding RNA from Salvelinus sp. IW2-2015, 959 nucleotides. NCBI's taxonomy places the organism in Eukaryota, Metazoa, Chordata, Actinopteri, Salmoniformes, Salmonidae. The record is from the annotation of a RefSeq genome assembly.